RNAcentral lists this ribosomal RNA (468 nucleotides) under uncultured bacterium. RNAcentral describes it as "partial 16S ribosomal RNA". It matches the Rfam family "Bacterial small subunit ribosomal RNA", at positions 28 to 507 of the family's 1533-position model. The record is from RNAcentral.
GACGAACGCUGGCGGCGUGCUUAACACAUGCAAGUCGAACGGAAAGGCUCCAGCUUGCUGGAGUACUCGAGUGGCGAACGGGUGAGUAACACGUGGGUGAUCUGCCCUGCACUUCGGGAUAAGCCUGGGAAACUGGGUCUAAUACCGGAUAGGACCGCACUUUGGUGUGUGUGGUGGAAAGGUUUUUCUGGUGUGGGAUGAGCUCGCGGCCUAUCAGUUUGUUGGUGGGGUAAUGGCCUACCAAGACGGCGACGGGUAGCCGGCCUGAGAGGGUGGACGGUCACAUUGGGACUGAGAUACGGCCCAGACUCCUACGGGAGGCAGCAGUGGGGAAUAUUGCACAAUGGGGGAAACCCUGAUGCAGCGACGCCGCGUGGGGGAUGAAGGCCUUCGGGUUGUAAACUCCUUUCGCUAGGUACGAAGCUUUUUGUGACGGUACCUGGAGAAGAAGCACCGGCUAACUACGUG